Molecule: ribosomal RNA, 484 nt
Filed under: uncultured bacterium
Lineage: Bacteria
Description: partial 16S ribosomal RNA
Rfam family: Bacterial small subunit ribosomal RNA
Source: RNAcentral
AUUGAACGCUGGCGGCAGGCCUAACACAUGCAAGUCGAGCGGAUGAAGGGAGCUUGCUCCUGGAUUCAGCGGCGGACGGGUGAGUAAUGCCUAGGAAUCUGCCUGGUCGUGGGGGAUAACGUCCGGAAACGGGCGCUAAUACCGCAUACGUCCUGAGGGAGAAAGUGGGGGAUCUUCGGACCUCACGCUAUCAGAUGAGCCUAGGUCGGUUUAGCUAGUUGGGGGGGUAAAGGCCUACCAAGGCGACGAUCCGUAACUGGUCUGAGAGGAUGAUCAGUCACAUUGGAACUGAGACACGGUCCAGACUCCUACGGGAGGCAGCAGUGGGGAAUAUUGGACGAUGGGCGAAAGCCUGAUCCAGCCAUGCCGCGUGUGUGAAGAAGGUCUUCGGAUUGUAAAGCACUUUAAGUUGGGAGGAAGGGCAGUAAGUUAAUACCUUGCUGUUUUGACGGUACCAACAGAAUAAGCACCGGCUAACUUCGUG